CUCGCAUGAAGAAUCACACUUUCAAAAUCGUAAAUACGUCCCUCUAUGAUAAUGGGCAACUUUCGAGCUCAAAUGCUACCUCAAUCUACUCAGCAGGAAUAUAGGGAUUUUAGAAAUAAACUGAAGAAUUUACCAAGAUUUUAAUGGAAACUUACAAAGAUUUUGAUGAGAAAACGAGUAAUCCGAGCUUAUAAACACCCCAUAAUCUCCUAAUAAUCACUCUCCC
RNAcentral lists this long non-coding RNA (226 nucleotides) under Capsicum annuum. RNAcentral describes it as "long non-coding RNA (CANN_LNC005409)". Lineage: Eukaryota; Viridiplantae; Streptophyta; Magnoliopsida; Solanales; Solanaceae. The record is from RNAcentral.